Molecule: long non-coding RNA, 3559 nt
Organism: Siniperca chuatsi (mandarin fish)
Lineage: Eukaryota; Metazoa; Chordata; Actinopteri; Centrarchiformes; Sinipercidae
Exons: 4
Source: RefSeq, a predicted model, not a curated record
AGAAACAAGGCGCCCAUCAAAAUCUGCUCAUACUUUUUCCCCUAGCAGCAGCACAACUGUGUUAGGUGGCGGCUGCUGGUACUGUGAAGCACAGCACAAACCUGCAUGCUCACUACUUCUUGUAAAAUACAAGAAACAACGCGCACGUAAUUCUGUGCGGUCGGAAAAUCCGGAAUUCCGGAUGAAUCCGGAAAAACCACAUCCCUAAGUGAUGUCAGGUUUAAGGGCAUCCAGUGACUGACCUAGUGUGACCAGCUGUAACCAGAAAGUCUACAUCCUAACCCGGUGGUUUGUAAAAACAGUAAUCAGCGGUUGAUGAAGAUCGAAGAUGUCGAACGAAGACGCGCAGUGUGACCAGCAAUUGAUCCCCCCAGCUGUAUCAUCUCCUGUCAUCUGGACUAAAGGAAAGAUCGAGUGAUCCUGUUUCCAGCAGCAACCCAGAGCAACACUAAAAGCCACCCAACCCAAGAACAACCGGGAAACAUUAACCGGCCGCUCCGCUACCCACUAAUGGAUCGGACCCAUUUCAUCAGCAAUCUGACAUUUAAUGAAUAUAUAUUUUAUCUUCCCGUGCCAGUUAUCGGAAUGUCCUCCCCGUUCCGAGAAAUGGCCGCCCUGGGACUCUUUUGAACGGACCUUUUUUCCUUCGACUGGCACCUGUACGCCAAUCACACUCGCUGCAACCGGCCCACAAUCCUCUCUUGUUUUUUCCUCUUCCCUCUCUGUCUUCAAUAUGGUACGUGGAUUAAUAAUUCAUGGCCAGUUAUUAGGGCCAGUUCAAUAGGAGAUCUGCUGAUGGAGGGUCGGUGCUUGGCGAGCGUGCCCGGAGGGAUGCUGCGUGUUGUUGUGUCAGCCCCCAUCUGCCAGAAUGCAAUAAGGCAAACAAUGGAGGCCUUGAUUUCCACCAGCAGGCCCAUAAUCUUUAAAUGGCUAUUAGCUGAAGAGUGCAACCAGUCAAUAACCGACAAAAUCCUUUUAAAAGCUUCUGUCUCUCUCACUCUUUCUCCAUUCUUCUUAAUCUCUCUUUCUUUCUGCCUCUCAGUCUCUUUCUUCUCUCUUGUUUCUGGUCAAAUUGGGACACAGUUGCAACGAUAAAACUCUUAUCAUGAGAGUUUUUAAUGCCACCAGUGGAAGGAGGUGAAGUGAUCAAUGGCGGUGGUCAAAAUGGGGACAACUGAGGUCAACAUCCAUUUUCUAAUCAUCUCAGGAAUCAUUACACUCCAUCAAACCCCAUGUUGAGUGUGUGUGUGACCUCACAUUGGCUUGGUAUUGGUAUUUAUUGCCUUAAACUGGUAUCUUUGACCUCUAGGUUCUCUUAGAAAUGAAUCCUAAUAUUUCUAAUAAGUUUACCUUAAAGUUAUUUUCCCAUAUUUUUCUCAAUGCAAGAACAGAAAUGCAGAAGGGAAGACUGUUUCACUUGUCAAAAGACUCCUCUUGAUUCGAGUGACAGUGUCUUGAAAUAAGGCAGUUGUCGCCCAGUGACAUCGUAUGGAUGAUAUACUUAUGCUUUUGCCAUCAGUCACAUGAGAUGCAGCUUGAAAGAUAUUGAAUUACUGUUUACAAGGAUGAGAUUAAAUUGUUUUUAAUAUACAAUGUUAUGAAAGCAAUAACCUUUUUGAUAGCCGCAAUCAUAUCCUAAUAAAACUGAUAUUCAUUAGUGUCAGGGAAUAUUCCCUGCUUCCAAUCUCCUCGAACUAAUACACAACCUGAAUCACAGUGGCUGGUACACAAACAAAUCCUGUUGUCCUUCAUGGCUGACAAGGUAAACAACACAUGCUCUGGUCCAAUGACAGAUCACUUACUGUGCACUCUUUGACAGAGAGAGGGACUUUAUGUAUUGUAUUUGGAACAACAUGCAGUUAAAAAGUCAGAUUUCUACUGCUUCAUAUCAAAAAUGAUCAGAUCAUUCUAUACAUGCAAUGCUUCGAUACCAAUACGUAAUGAAUACUUGUACUGAGACCUCUCAAUUUCCUGUCUAUUUCACCCCUUUUGAGCCUUACUCUAUUAUAGAGCAAAAGCUCCACAUCCACAGAGAUUCAUGACACCACCCCAUUCUCUCUUACAUUUUCAGUUACUCGUUGAUGGAAGAUAGUGCUACAUUUCAGCUUCAAGUGGUCUAAAAGCAUUGUUCUCAAAAAACACAAAUUUACGUUUGCAAUGGAAUGCAUGCAUUAUGAAAUAUCUUUGUGUGACUUAUAUGGUUAAGAGAAGUGGCAGAGCUUGUAGCGGAGGGAAAACACUCAGUGUUGGUGCAAUUCCUACUGGCCUCCAAUAGGAGUCAACAAAGGUCAUACUGCAGAUUACUUAAAUUCUAAUGUGAUGCCCAAAAUCUUGAGUAUGAAACACUCACUCAAUGUAGGCUUGAAAGGUGGCUGUAAAAAGUUUGUAGUCAGCUCCUUUGCAGAUUGCAAUCAUGUCUGUGUCAGUGUACUCCAACAGCAUUUUUUUUAUUGUGGAAAAAAGUAUCAGUUCUUGCAAACUUCUUAAACCACUCCUGCAGCGUAAUCCACCUCUUCACUCCCCAGUCAAUAUUUUAGAAACACAACUUUUAACUAAAAUAUGGCUGAAUAGACUAUUCCUGUCCAAAUAAUCUUAAAUAAUUAAUAUAAUGUAAAUAAAAAUGUUUUGAAGUUAAGGAGUAUGGUCCACACACUGAUACUUUUGAGAAAAUAUCACAAAAUACACAGCUUCUGUAACAUGCUCCUCGUGAAUGAUCAUUCUUACAGAACCAGUGCAUUUAUCAAUCAUAUGUUGUCCCAUACUGUCUGAAAAAAACUGGUUAAGAAAACAAUAAACACAAAAAUGCUAGCUGACAGUCUCAUAAAUCACAUGACAAAAUUAUACAUUAUAAAUGCUUCAGAACCUUUCAAAAUGUUCUUUAGCUGCAUUAUGAAUUACAAUGUUUCCCAUAAUCAUAGAGGCAAACACUCACUCUGAUGUUACAAUACCAUGCUAUCACUCACUCUGUCCACAAUUCUUAGUCUGCCAAAAACACACUAAGAGCCAUGGAAGGAGUGAGUGAGUCCGUGAGUCAAAAACAUCACCUCAAACAGAUUGGCACGUAGGUUACCACAUUGUCACACAUCAGCACCGGUGUUUUGACAAGCCAGCGUGACCUCUGUGUUGCACAAUCACAUGAUCACAACUGGUCAGGUCAAAGGUCAAUGCUAAUGGAUGGUGUAGCAAGGGAAGCAGCUUUAUGUCAGGGUGUGAGCGUGUAUAUGUGUGUUUGUGCUGCGGGUUUGAGGCCAUACUCUCAUAAAGACUGUGGGAGUUUCCUGUUAUGUGGUAGUUAUUUUGCUGUGCGUGAUAUAAGAACUGACACUUUUUCAAAGUGGUAUUUUGUAAUAUGAAAGUAGUUUGCUAUUGGUUUUAGGAUCCUAACUCAGGUACAUAAAAUAAUGGACUACAUUUACAAUCUGUUUAGAGCCUAAAUGACAUUUUUUGACAUGUUUCAGUGUUUGGAUCUAACUUUUCUAUUUUGCUAAAGAAACAAAUUUCAUAAUUGCUCUCACCUACACAGGAAUAACAAUUAAAAUAAGAUAUAAUGAAUGUUAAA